UAUGCACGCUGGCGGCGUGCCUAAUACAUGCAAGUCGAGCGAACGGACGAGAAGCUUGCUUUUCUGAUGUUAGCGGCGGACGGGUGAGUAACACGUGGAUAACCUACCUAUAAGACUGGGAUAACUUCGGGAAACCGGAGCUAAUACCGGAUAAUAUUUUGAACCGCAUGGUUCAAAAGUGAAAGACGGUCUUGCUGUCACUUAUAGAUGGAUCCGCGCUGCAUUAGCUAGUUGGUAAGGUAACGGCUUACCAAGGCAACGAUGCAUAGCCGACCUGAGAGGGUGAGCGGCCACACUGGAACUGAGACACGGUCCAGACUCCUACGGGAGGCAGCAGUAGGGAAUCUUCCGCAAUGGGCGAAAGCCUGACGGAGCAACGCCGCGUGAGUGAUGAAGGUCUUCGGCUCGUAAAACUCUGUUAUUAGGGAAGAACAUAUGUGUAAGUAACUGUGCACAUCUUGACGGUACCUAAUCAGAAAGCCACGGCUAACUACGUG
This 497-nucleotide ribosomal RNA is filed under the name uncultured bacterium. RNAcentral's name for it is "partial 16S ribosomal RNA". It matches the Rfam family "Bacterial small subunit ribosomal RNA", at positions 29 to 507 of the family's 1533-position model. The record is from RNAcentral.